CGGGUGGCGACCGGCGCACGGGUGAGUAACGCGUAUGCAACUUGCCUAUCAGAGGGGGAUAACCCGGCGAAAGUCGGACUAAUACCGCAUGAAGCAGGGGCCCCGCAUGGGGAUAUUUGCUAAAGAUUCAUCGCUGAUAGAUAGGCAUGCGUUCCAUUAGGCAGUUGGCGGGGUAACGGCCCACCAAACCGACGAUGGAUAGGGGUUCUGAGAGGAAGGUCCCCCACGUUGGUACUGAGACACGGACCAAACUCCUACGGGAGGCAGCAGUGAGGAAUAUUGGUCAAUGGGCGUAAGCCUGAACCAGCCAAGUCGCGUGAGGGAUGAAGGUUCUAUGGAUCGUAAACCUCUUUUAUAAGGGAAUAAAGUGCGGGACGUGUCCCGUUUUGUAUGUACCUUAUGAAUAAGGAUCGGCUAACUCCGUGCCAGCAGCCGCGGUAAUACGGAGGAUCCGAGCGUUAUCCGGAUUUAUUGGGUUUAAAGGGUGCGUAGGCGGCCUUUUAAGUCAGCGGUGAAAGUCUGUGGCUCAACCAUAGAAUUGCCGUUGAAACUGGGGGGCUUGAGUAUGUUUGAGGCAGGCGGAAUGCGUGGUGUAGCGGUGAAAUGCUUAGAUAUCACGCAGAACCCCGAUUGCGAAGGCAGCCUGCCAAGCCAUGACUGACGCUGAUGCACGAAAGCGUGGGGAUCAAACAGGAUUAGAUACCCUGGUAGUCCACGCAGUAAACGAUGAUCACUAGCUGUUUGCGAUACAGUGUAAGCGGCACAGCGAAAGCGUUAAGUGAUCCACCUGGGG
Molecule: ribosomal RNA, 793 nt
Filed under: uncultured bacterium
Lineage: Bacteria
Description: bacterial SSU rRNA
Rfam family: Bacterial small subunit ribosomal RNA
Source: RNAcentral